GACGAACGCUGGCGGCGUGCUUAACACAUGCAAGUCGAACGGAAAGGCCCUGCUUUUGUGGGGUGCUCGAGUGGCGAACGGGUGAGUAACACGUGAGUAACCUGCCCUUGACUUUGGGAUAACUUCAGGAAACUGGGGCUAAUACCGGAUAGGAGCUCCUGCUGCAUGGGGGGGGUUGGAAAGUUUCGGCGGUUGGGGAUGGACCCGCGGCUUAUCAGCUUGUUGGGGGGGUAGUGGCUUACCAAGGCUUUGACGGGUACCCGGCCGGAGAGGGUGACCGGCAAAUGGGGACUGAGGUACGGCCCCGGCCCCCACGGGGGGGCGGAGGGGGGAAUAGUGCCAAAGGGGCGGAAGCCUGAUGCCGCCACGCCGGGUGCGGGGUGGCGGCCUUGGGGUUGGAAACCGCUUUCCCCUGGGACGAAGGGUGGGGGAAGGGAAAGGGAAAAGAAGCCCCGGCUAAACACG
Molecule: ribosomal RNA, 465 nt
Filed under: uncultured bacterium
Lineage: Bacteria
Description: partial 16S ribosomal RNA
Rfam family: Bacterial small subunit ribosomal RNA
Source: RNAcentral